GAUGAAGAACGUAGCGAACUGCGAUAAGUAAUGUGAAUUGCAGAAUUCAGUGAAUCAUCGAAUCUUUGAACGCACAUUGCGCCCUCUGGUAUUCCGGGGGGCAUGCCUGUUCGAGCGUCAUUACAACCCUCAAGCUCUGCUUGGUAUUGGGCUCUGCCGGUCCUGGCAGGCCUCAAAGUCAGUGGCGGUGCCAUCCGGCUCCAAGCGUAGUAAUUCUCCUCGCUUCGGAGGCCGCGGUGCGUGCUAGCCAGCAACCCCCAAUUUUUUUCAGGUUGACCUCGAAUCAGGUAGGGAUACCCGCUGAACUUAAGCAUAUCAAUAAGCGGAGGA
This 330-nucleotide unclassified non-coding RNA is filed under the name soil metagenome. Its description in RNAcentral is "partial contains 5.8S ribosomal RNA, internal transcribed spacer 2, and large subunit ribosomal RNA". The stretch from base 1 to 120 matches the Rfam family "5.8S ribosomal RNA", at positions 35 to 154 of the family's 154-position model. The record is from RNAcentral.